AUUGAACGCUGGCGGCAGGCCUAACACAUGCAAGUCGAGCGGAUGAAGGGAGCUUGCUCCUGGAUUCAGCGGCGGACGGGUGAGUAAUGCCUAGGAAUCUGCCUGGUCGUGGGGGAUAACGUCCGGAAACGGGCGCUAAUACCGCAUACGUCCUGAGGGUGAAAGUGGGGGAUCUUCGGACCUCACGCUAUCAGAUGUGCCUAGGUCGGAUUAGCUAGUUGGUGGGGUAAAGGCCUACCAAGGCGACGAUCCGUAGCUGGUCUGAGAGGAUGAUCAGUCACACUGGAACUGAGACACGGUCCAGACUCCUACGGGAGGCAGCAGUGGGGAAUAUUGGACAAUGGGCGAAAGCCUGAUCCAGCCAUGCCGCGUGUGUGAAGAAGGUCUUCGGAUUGUAAAGCACUUUAAGUUGGGAGGAAGGGCAGUAAGUUAAUACCUUGCUGUGUUGACGUUACCAAAAGAAUAAGCACCGGCUAACUACGUG
RNAcentral lists this ribosomal RNA (484 nucleotides) under uncultured bacterium. Its description in RNAcentral is "partial 16S ribosomal RNA". It matches the Rfam family "Bacterial small subunit ribosomal RNA", at positions 30 to 507 of the family's 1533-position model. The record is from RNAcentral.